This 253-nucleotide ribosomal RNA is filed under the name uncultured bacterium. RNAcentral describes it as "partial 16S ribosomal RNA". It matches the Rfam family "Bacterial small subunit ribosomal RNA", at positions 524 to 776 of the family's 1533-position model. The record is from RNAcentral.
UACAGAGGUCUCAAGCGUUGUUCGGAUUCAUUGGGCGUAAAGGGUGCGUAGGUGGCGCCAUAAGUCAGGUGUGAAAUCUCCGGGCUUAACUCGGAAAGGUCAACUGAUACUGUGCGACUAGAGUGCAGAAGGGGCAACUGGAAUUCUCGGUGUAGCGGUGAAAUGCGUAGAUAUCGAGAGGAACACCUGCGGCGAAGGCGGGUUGCUGGGCUGACACUGACGCUGAUGCGCGAAAGCCAGGGGAGCGAACGGG